Molecule: transfer RNA, 63 nt
Filed under: Hyalella lucifugax
Lineage: Eukaryota; Metazoa; Arthropoda; Malacostraca; Amphipoda; Hyalellidae
Also listed under: 2 other names
Description: tRNA-Trp
Source: RNAcentral
UAAACUUUAAGUUAUUUAAACUAAGAGCCUUCAAAGCUUAAAAAAAGCACUGCUUAAGUUUAA